This is a non-coding RNA of Arvicola amphibius (Eurasian water vole), 73 nucleotides long. The record is from the annotation of a RefSeq genome assembly. Lineage: Eukaryota; Metazoa; Chordata; Mammalia; Rodentia; Cricetidae.
UGGGGAUGUACCUCAGUGGUAGAGGGCUUGCCUAGUGUGUAGGAGGUCCUGGGUUUGAUUCCCAGCACCACAA